This 619-nucleotide ribosomal RNA is filed under the name uncultured bacterium. RNAcentral describes it as "bacterial SSU rRNA". It matches the Rfam family "Bacterial small subunit ribosomal RNA", at positions 338 to 951 of the family's 1533-position model. The record is from RNAcentral.
CCUACGGGAGGCAGCAGUGGGGAAUUUUGGACAAUGGGCGCAAGCCUGAUCCAGCAAUGCCGCGUGCAGGAUGAAGGCCUUCGGGUUGUAAACUGCUUUUGUACGGAACGAAACGGUUCGCUUUAAUAAAGUGGGCUAAUGACGGUACCGUAAGAAUAAGCACCGGCUAACUACGUGCCAGCAGCCGCGGUAAUACGUAGGGUGCGAGCGUUAAUCGGAAUUACUGGGCGUAAAGCGUGCGCAGGCGGUGAUGUAAGACAGAUGUGAAAUCCCCGGGCUCAACCUGGGACCUGCAUUUGUGACUGCAUCGCUAGAGUACGGUAGAGGGGGAUGGAAUUCCGCGUGUAGCAGUGAAAUGCGUAGAUAUGCGGAGGAACACCGAUGGCGAAGGCAAUCCCCUGGACCUGUACUGACGCUCAUGCACGAAAGCGUGGGGAGCAAACAGGAUUAGAUACCCUGGUAGUCCACGCCCUAAACGAUGUCAACUGGUUGUUGGGUCUUCACUGACUCAGUAACGAAGCUAACGCGUGAAGUUGACCGCCUGGGGAGUCGGCCGCAAGGUUGAAACUCAAAUGAAUUGACGGCNGAGAGNGACGACGGCGACGACGAGGGGAGGAGG